AUCCAGCUGACGAGUCCGAAAUAGGAUGAAACGAGAGUGGUGGAU
This is a non-coding RNA of Schistosoma margrebowiei, 45 nucleotides long. The record is from Rfam. Lineage: Eukaryota; Metazoa; Platyhelminthes; Trematoda; Strigeidida; Schistosomatidae.